RNAcentral lists this ribosomal RNA (1244 nucleotides) under metagenome. Its description in RNAcentral is "bacterial LSU rRNA". It matches the Rfam family "Bacterial large subunit ribosomal RNA", at positions 1564 to 2818 of the family's 2925-position model. The record is from RNAcentral.
UGAGUACGAGAUGCUACGGCAUCGAAGCAGUCUAUGUCAUACUUCCAAGAAAAGCUUGCACUGUCAUAAACAAAGAAUGCCUGUACCAUAACCGACACAGGUGGGUAGGUAGAGUAUACUAAGGGGCGCGAGAUAACUCUCUCUAAGGAACUCGGCAAAAUGACUCCGUAACUUCGGGAGAAGGAGUGCCUUAUUUCUAAGGUUGCAAUAACAAGAUCCAAGCAACUGUUUACCAAAAACACAGGUCUCCGCUAAGUCGUAAGACGAUGUAUGGGGGCUGACGCCUGCCCAGUGCCAGAAGGUUAAAGAAGUUGGUUAGCAUUAGCGAAGCUGAUAACUGAAGCCCUGGUGAACGGCGGCCGUAACAAUAACGGUCCUAAGGUAGCGAAAUUCCUUGUCGGGUAAGUUCCGACCCGCACGAAAGGCGUAAUGAUUUGGAUACUGUCUCGGAGAGGGGCUCGGUGAAAUAGACUUGUCUGUGAAGAUGCGGACUACCUGCACCUGGACAGAAAGACCCUAUGAAGCUUUACUGUAACUUGAGAUUGAAAUUGGACUUUAUUUGCGCAGUAUAGGUGGGAGGCGUUGAGAAUAAUCUUGCGGGAUUGUUGGAGCCAUCAGUGAGAUACCACUCUUGUAAUGUUAGAUUUCUAACUUUGUAUCAUUAUCUGGUCAAAGAACAGUUUCAGGCGGGCAGUUUGACUGGGGCGGUCGCCUCCCAAAGGGUAACGGAGGCGCACAAAGGUUUCCUCUGAACGGGUAGAAAUCGUAUCUAGAGUGUAAAGGCAUAAGGAAGCUUGACUGUGAGACCUACAAGUCGAGCAGGGACGAAAGUCGGUCUUAGUGAUCUGACGGUGCUGAGUGGAAAGGCCGUCACUCAACGGAUAAAAGUUACUCUAGGAUAACAGGCUGAUCUCCCCCAAGAGUUCACAUCGACGGGGAGGUUUGGCACCUCGAUGUCGGCUCAUCGCAUCCUGGGGCGGUAGUCCGUCCCAAGGGUUGGGCUGUUCGCCCAUGAAAGCGGUACGCGAGCUGGGUUCAGAACGUCGUGAGACAGUUCGGUCCAUAUCCGGUGUAGGCGUUAGAAUAUUGAGAGGAGCCUUCUCUAGUACGAGAGGACCGAGAAGGACAUACCUCUGGUGUACCAGUUAUCGUGCCAACGGUAAACGCUGGGUAGCUAUGUAUGGAGUGGAUAACCGCUGAAAGCAUCUAAGUGGGAAGCCCACCUCAAGAUAAGUAUUCUCAUG